RNAcentral lists this ribosomal RNA (465 nucleotides) under Nocardioidaceae bacterium 'ARUP UnID 108'. Its description in RNAcentral is "bacterial SSU rRNA". It matches the Rfam family "Bacterial small subunit ribosomal RNA", at positions 27 to 506 of the family's 1533-position model. The record is from RNAcentral. Lineage: Bacteria; Bacillati; Actinomycetota; Actinomycetes; Propionibacteriales; Nocardioidaceae.
GGACGAACGCUGGCGGCGUGCUUAACACAUGCAAGUCGAGCGGUAAGGCUCCUUCGGGAGUACACGAGCGGCGAACGGGUGAGUAACACGUGAGUAACCUGCCCCAUUCAUCGGAAUAACCAGUGGAAACGCUGGCUAAUGCCGAAUAUGACCAUCGAGCGCAUGCUCUGGUGGUGGAAAGCUCCGGCGGAGUGGGAUGGACUCGCGGCCUAUCAGCUUGUUGGUGAGGUAACGGCUCACCAAGGCGACGACGGGUAGCCGGCCUGAGAGGGUGACCGGCCACACUGGGACUGAGACACGGCCCAGACUCCUACGGGAGGCAGCAGUGGGGAAUAUUGGACAAUGGGCGAAAGCCUGAUCCAGCAACGCCGCGUGAGGGAUGACGGCCUUCGGGUUGUAAACCUCUUUCAGCAGGGACGAAGCGAGAGUGACGGUACCUGCAGAAGAAGGACCGGCCAACUACGU